This is a long non-coding RNA of Triticum aestivum (bread wheat), 1825 nucleotides long. RefSeq lists it as uncharacterized. Lineage: Eukaryota; Viridiplantae; Streptophyta; Magnoliopsida; Poales; Poaceae. The record is from RefSeq and is a predicted model, not a curated record. The transcript has 6 exons.
AGACGCUGCGGGUCGUUGGCGGCUCCCCUCGCCCUGCUACCAUGGUACCGCCGGGACUCCUCCCAGCUGCUUCCACCUCGACAAUGGUUCCCUCAACCCCGUCGGGUUCGUCACCAGCCACUCCUUCCCGGCACACUCUGCCCGCCGUCCUACCCAUCCGCCUGGCUCCCGCUGCGAACACCGCCGCUGAGUGCAUCAAAAGCCAUCGCAUGGGACCUCACCUCCUGCCGCCCCACUCGAGGUUGGGCAACCCCUAACCUACUAAGGUGAACUCUGCUUGAGUACACACCCACGGGGUGUCCGACAGGGGCUCCUUUGCCCGUUCUGCAAGAUGAUGUAGGCACAUAUAAGAACGCCUCGACCCCUCAACGGAAACCCCCUGCUCAAUUGCUUCCCAUGCUCGACUUUGCUACAUCGCCGUUUUGCUAACUUUACCAGAAUCUCGUCGUUUUGCGACUUCACUAAAAUUUCGUCCGCCUGUUCUCCACGCAUGGUACGAAGGUUCGGUGCCUUCUGGCAUAUUGGUGUAGAUAGAAUCAUACUGCUGAUUUCUUAUAAUUUCAUCAUCACGAAGAUGUGUUCUAUUUGUUUAGUUAACGACUAUUUUGAUGCAGGCCUUAGUUUGGUUUUUUAUGGCUGCAGGUUCAUAAUAAUCUGGGUUGCACCAACUGCUUUUGGUUGGUGAUGACUGCCAUGCAGUUCUCGCCAUGUUUGAACCACUCUUCACAUGGACAUCCCUAUGCUCCUUAUCUUACUGGUCAUCAUUAUUGUUGAUUAUUUCUCCUUCCGUUCUUUUAUGUUAUCCAAUGGAUAUUCUCUUACUACAUAUAUUUCUGGAGGACUAAAGAGCAUGCCAUCCCUGAUUAAACAUUGGUUGUGUUGAUAGAUUAAACCCCAAUGGUUUCUAUAUGAAUGUUCUUUCAUCCAAUUAAUCAUUUGUUUAGUUUCAGAUAUUAGACCCAAAUUUGUUUAUGCAUUGGACUAGAAAUAGCACAACUGCAAUAUUUUUUUAUUAAAUUUCACAGUAAAGUUUUUGCAGCUGAUGUCCCACUGUACGCAGACACCACAUUCUGGUUAGCCUCAUACUAUGGAGAUGGUUGACGAGAUGUACGGCAAUAGUUUCAGGUGGUGAGCCGAGAUGUGCUGGCAAGGCCAAAGAGUCGGUUCGCUUAGAUCAGGCUGCUGGAGGCUCUUGCACUCGCAUGUCUGCUGGAGGCUGCACAACCCACACGUGGAAAAGCAUGUUAUACAACAUCUCAUUUUCUACUAAGAUACGCAGUAGGAAAGCAUUGACCUAUUACGCUUGAUCUGAAGUCAUCGGCUUUUGACCCAAAGGAGAAAGUAUGGACAAGGUUCCCACUGGAAGGCUCAGAAUACACCCCUCCACAGAGUUCUUGUGAUUUCAGAUGGAAAGAUUACUGCCUCCAAGUAUUCUGGUUGUUCAAGGUUGAUGCAACAGAUUGUAUGCUAUCCCUUUGUGGGGACCAGGCUCUCCGAGGGCUCUCAUCCCCUGGUAAGAGUGGAAGCUUCUUUUAUCUCACGAGCAAUUAUCAUUACAUGAGAAAGACGAUGAAGAAAUAGGGAAUAAAGGUACUAUGUUGCCUAUUCAGGGACCUCACCUUCAUGAGACUGGGGUAGAUGUUAGAAAGGAGAGAUGAUGUGAGUUUCUGAAGUUCACUGUAGAAGGGCAAGAUGUGGGCUGUGCAAUCGCGAUGUAUUGAUCGGUGCACCAGGCACGUAUAUAUAAGUACAGAGGUGGGCCACAACCUCAACUAUACAGAGGAAACAGGAGGUGGGCCCUAUGCACAAACAUAUACGUACACAA